AAAAAAAAGAGAAAAAGGAAAAGAAAAAGAGAGAAGAAAGAAGAAGGACAGAAGAAAAGCAGAGAAAGGGAAAGGAAAAGAUAAAGUACUCACAGGAUCCUGGGGGCUCAGGCCAAUGUUGAACAGAAAUUGCUCCCUCAGAAGAUUGGGAAGGGAAGGAGCGGAAUAGGCGAGAAGCUUCCGGGCAGCCUGGAGGUCAUCCUCCCCCAGGCUGGGGGUCCGGCGGACAGAAUCCCUCAGAGAGCCCCAAGGGGGCAGGCCCAGCCUCAGGGUCGGACAGUG
Molecule: long non-coding RNA, 282 nt
Filed under: Elaeis guineensis (African oil palm)
Lineage: Eukaryota; Viridiplantae; Streptophyta; Magnoliopsida; Arecales; Arecaceae
Description: long non-coding RNA (EGUI_LNC052004)
Source: RNAcentral